Molecule: ribosomal RNA, 777 nt
Filed under: Lentilactobacillus buchneri
Lineage: Bacteria; Bacillati; Bacillota; Bacilli; Lactobacillales; Lactobacillaceae
Description: bacterial SSU rRNA
Rfam family: Bacterial small subunit ribosomal RNA
Source: RNAcentral
CGAACGCGUCUCCGUUAAUGAUUUUAGGUGCUUGCACUUGAAAGAUUUAACAUUGAGACGAGUGGCGAACUGGUGAGUAACACGUGGGUAACCUGCCCUUGAAGUAGGGGAUAACACUUGGAAACAGGUGCUAAUACCGUAUAACAACCAAAACCACCUGGUUUUGGUUUAAAAGACGGCUUCGGCUGUCACUUUAGGAUGGACCCGCGGCGUAUUAGCUUGUUGGUAAGGUAACGGCUUACCAAGGCGAUGAUACGUAGCCGACCUGAGAGGGUAAUCGGCCACAUUGGGACUGAGACACGGCCCAAACUCCUACGGGAGGCAGCAGUAGGGAAUCUUCCACAAUGGACGAAAGUCUGAUGGAGCAACGCCGCGUGAGUGAUGAAGGGUUUCGGCUCGUAAAACUCUGUUGUUGGAGAAGAACAGGUGUCAGAGUAACUGUUGACAUCUUGACGGUAUCCAACCAGAAAGCCACGGCUAACUACGUGCCAGCAGCCGCGGUAAUACGUAGGUGGCAAGCGUUGUCCGGAUUUAUUGGGCGUAAAGCGAGCGCAGGCGGUUUUUUAGGUCUGAUGUGAAAGCCUUCGGCUUAACCGGAGAAGUGCAUCGGAAACCGGGAGACUUGAGUGCAGAAGAGGACAGUGGAACUCCAUGUGUAGCGGUGAAAUGCGUAGAUAUAUGGAAGAACACCAGUGGCGAAGGCGGCUGUCUGGUCUGUAACUGACGCUGAGGCUCGAAAGCAUGGGUAGCGAACAGGAUUAGAUACCCUGGUAGUCC